GACGAACGCUGGCGGCGUGCCUAAUACAUGCAAGUUGAGCGCUGAAGGUUGGUACUUGUACCAACUGGAUGAGCAGCGAACGGGUGAGUAACGCGUGGGGAAUCUGCCUUUGAGCGGGGGACAACAUUUGGAAACGAAUGCUAAUACCGCAUAAAAACUUUAAACACAAGUUUUAAGUUUGAAAGAUGCAAUUGCAUCACUCAAAGAUGAUCCCGCGUUGUAUUAGCUAGUUGGUGAGGUAAAGGCUCACCAAGGCGAUGAUACAUGGCCGACCUGAGAGGGUGAUCGGCCACAUUGGGACUGAGACACGGCCCAAACUCCUACGGGAGGCAGCAGUAGGGAAUCUUCGGCAAUGGACGAAAGUCUGACCGAGCAACGCCGCGGGAGUGAAGAAGGUUGUCGGAUCGUAAAACUCUGUUGGUAGAGAAGAACGUUGGUGAGAGUGGAAAGCUCAUCAAGUGACGGUAACUACCCAGAAAGGGACGGCUAACUACGUG
RNAcentral lists this ribosomal RNA (497 nucleotides) under uncultured bacterium. RNAcentral's name for it is "partial 16S ribosomal RNA". It matches the Rfam family "Bacterial small subunit ribosomal RNA", at positions 28 to 507 of the family's 1533-position model. The record is from RNAcentral.